RNAcentral lists this long non-coding RNA (673 nucleotides) under Phaseolus vulgaris (common bean). RNAcentral's name for it is "long non-coding RNA (PVUL_LNC001340)". Lineage: Eukaryota; Viridiplantae; Streptophyta; Magnoliopsida; Fabales; Fabaceae. The record is from RNAcentral.
CCGACAAUUCCCCAUUAAUCAAUUUAUCCACAAAAUGAACCAACAGGAAGAAAAGACACAGAAAAAAAGGGCAUUUUUUCUUUCUUUUCAAAUAAAUCACUAUAACUCAAAGGCAAAACAAAUUAAAUUAAAGAUUACAAUUUUCAAUACUAUCAUCAUCAUCAUAGGCAGCAGCUACAAAGCAGAGAGUACUGUCGCAGCAGAUGAAUGAAUAUCAAGUAGCAGUAGUAAGUAUGAAUUAGGAAAAUGAACCAACAUCACCAAGUUUGGACUAACCCCAACUUUGGCGUGAACCUCAGUUUUUUGUGGUCACGGGGACCACAGUUUGCAGCAGCAUCAAUCAUAGAUUUCUGCAAUUUCCCAAAUCGCGCUGACAAAAUGCAAUUUACAAGCUCCAUGAUCAAGAAGAAGGAAGCUUGAUAGCUUUGAAAGCAGGGUGAAGCAACCCAAGAUCAUCCUUGAUCUCAAGAGGGUUUCCAGUGUCAUUCCUCACUUUCUUCACCCUGCGACUUGCAAGGGUCUUGUGAGUGAAGCCAUACAUCUGCAAAAUCUGGUUAUCCCCAAAAUUAUAAGCCCUAUCCAUCUGCUUCAAGCACCUCUCCACAGGGUAAUCACCAAACUUCCCACAAGGCUUGCACCCCACAAAGUGGGUCACCAAAGGCCACCUAUGAUC